CUACGGGUUGCACCAGUAGGGAAUAUUGGACAAUGGGCGAAAGCCUGAUCCAGCAACACCGCGUGCACGAUGACGGCCUUCGGGUUGUAAAGUGCUUUUAGAGGAGAUGAGAAAGGACAGUAUCCUCUGAAUAAGCCUCGGCGAACUACGUGCCAGCAGCCGCGGUAAAACGUAGGAGGCAAGCGUUAUCCGGAUUUAUUGGGCGUAAAGCGCGUGCAGGCGGUCUAGCGAGUUGGAUGUGAAAGCUCCCGGCUCAACUGGGAGAGGUCGUUCAAUACUGUUAGACUAGAGAAUAGGAGAGGGAGGUGGAAUUCCGGGUGUAGUGGUGAAAUGCGUAGAUAUCCGGAGGAACACCAGUGGCGAAAGCGGCCUCCUGGACUAUUUCUGACGCUAAGACGCGAAAGCUAGGGUAGCAAACGGGAUUAGAUACCCUAGUAGUC
Molecule: ribosomal RNA, 440 nt
Filed under: uncultured bacterium
Lineage: Bacteria
Description: partial 16S ribosomal RNA
Rfam family: Bacterial small subunit ribosomal RNA
Source: RNAcentral